Molecule: signal recognition particle RNA, 311 nt
Filed under: Vombatus ursinus (common wombat)
Lineage: Eukaryota; Metazoa; Chordata; Mammalia; Diprotodontia; Vombatidae
Description: Metazoan signal recognition particle RNA (ENSVURG00010020168.1)
Rfam family: Metazoan signal recognition particle RNA
About the family: The signal recognition particle (SRP) is a universally conserved ribonucleoprotein. It is involved in the co-translational targeting of proteins to membranes.
Source: RNAcentral
GGAUGUGGUAGUACAUGCCUAUAACCCAUGCUAUUAGGGAAAGUUGGGGCUGGUGAUCUCUUGAGUUCAGGAGUUCUGAGAAGAGCGAAAACUGAUCAUGUGUCUGCAUUUAGUCCAGCACCAAUAUGGUGGCCCUCCACCUAUGUGUCUACCCAUGCUACAUGGGGGCACCAGGUUACCUAAGGAGGGGAAAACCAGCCUUGGUCAGAAAUGGAGCAGGUUAAAGCUUCCAUACUGAUCAGUACUGUAAGUGGUCCCAUGAGUGGCCCACUUUAUUCCAGUCUGGGCAAGAUAGGGAGACUCAGUGUUUA